This 638-nucleotide long non-coding RNA is filed under the name Sus scrofa (pig). RNAcentral describes it as "lncRNA (ENSSSCG00070018175.1)". The record is from RNAcentral. Lineage: Eukaryota; Metazoa; Chordata; Mammalia; Artiodactyla; Suidae.
CUCCUGAGAACCAGCCGACCCAGAAGCAUCUAGGUCAUUCUCUGCUCUGUGCUUCAGAAGAAGGCUGAGGACAAAAAAAAAAAGAUAGAUUCAAGAAGGUAUUUCCUGGCAUUUGGGGAUCAGCCGCUCAGGCCUGAAUAGAGGAGUGGAUGGGGAGGAAGUGAAAUGGACUCCGUUCAAAGACAAUAAAGCUGAUUCAGGGCAGCACCUGAUGUUGCAAGAGCCAUGCUUCCUGGUUCCUUCUUACCUCCAGACCGGAUAACAACCUCCUGGGCCCAGACUGGAAGAGGUGUCGGAAAGGAGAUUAGAGAUACAGCUUCUUUCCCUCAGUUCUGAGACCUUAGCCCUCCCUAAGCCAGGAAGUGUGCUGGACGAAGGCAGGUGAGAGUGUGGACACCGUUUCCCUGGCAACCUCCUACAGGACACUUGGGGCAAGGAAGUCUAUGGGGAAUUUGUCCAAGUCCUCGAUUUGGUAUUCCGGUUGAGCAGACUGGCAGUGGUUUUUAGCCUAAGAACUCUGUCUUCCUGUCCCAGGGGCGCCCUUAGGUUGCAGUGAUGGGAAACCUGUGACCCUGUACCAUGAAGGAGCUGCCUCAAUCAAUCCUUAGGGCUUUAUUACAGUUUUUAAAGAAAUAAGG